AGUGCACAGUGCUGCCUUGUCUGAGGGGACAGGAGGAUCACCCUCGUCGUCGCUUCGGCCAGUGCGUCGGGCUGGGCCCUGACAAGCCACCUGAGGAGAGGCUCGGAGCCGGGCCCGGACCCCGGGGAUUGCCGCCCGCUUCUCUCUAGUCUCACGAGGGGUUUCCCGCCUCGCACCCCCACCUCUGGACUUGCCUUUCCUUCUCUCUCCGCGUGUGGAGGGAGCCAGCGCUUAGGCCGGAGCGAGCCUGGGGGCCGCCCGCCGUGAAGACAUCGCGGGGACCGAUUCACCAUGGAGGGCGCCGGCGGCGCGAACGACAAGAAAAAGUGAUUUGGAUAUUGAAGAUGACAUGAAAGCACAGAUGAAUUGCUUUUAUUUGAAAGCCUUGGAUGGUUUUGUUAUGGUUCUCACAGAUGAUGGUGACAUGAUUUACAUUUCUGAUAAUGUGAACAAAUACAUGGGAUUAACUCAGUUUGAACUAACUGGACACAGUGUGUUUGAUUUUACUCAUCCAUGUGACCAUGAGGAAAUGAGAGAAAUGCUUACACACAGAAAUGG
RNAcentral lists this non-coding RNA (558 nucleotides) under Pan troglodytes (chimpanzee). RNAcentral's name for it is "processed transcript". The stretch from base 16 to 294 matches the Rfam family "HIF-1 alpha IRES". Rfam says of the family: This family represents the hypoxia-inducible factor 1-alpha internal ribosome entry site. HIF-1a is a subunit of the HIF-1 transcription factor, which induces transcription of several genes involved in the cellular response to hypoxia. The record is from RNAcentral. Lineage: Eukaryota; Metazoa; Chordata; Mammalia; Primates; Hominidae.